GAGUCGGCCUGCGCGGAAGAUGUAACGGGGCUAAACCAUGCACCGAAGCUGCGGCAGCGACACUUUAGUGUUGUUGGGUAGGGGAGCGUUCUGUAAGCCGUUGAAGGUGUCCUGUGAGGGGUGCUGGAGGUAUCAGAAGUGCGAAUGCUGACAUAAGUAACGAUAAAGCGGGUGAAAAGCCCGCUCGCCGGAAGACCAAGGGUUCCUGUCCAACGUUAAUCGGGGCAGGGUGAGUCGACCCCUAAGGCGAGGCCGAAAGGCGUAGUCGAUGGGAAACGGGUUAAUAUUCCCGUACUUGGUGUUACUGCGAAGGGGGGACGGAGAAGGCUAUGUUGGCCGGGCGACGGUUGUCCCGGUUUAAGCGUGUAGGUGUGUGUUCCAGGUAAAUCCGGUUCACUUUAACACUGAGGCGUGAUGACGAGGCACCACGGUGCUGAAGCAACAAAUGCCCUGCUUCCAGGAAAAGCCUCUAAGCAUCAGGUAACAUCAAAUCGUACCCCAAACCGACACAGGUGGUCAGGUAGAGAAUACCAAGGCGCUUGAGAGAACUCGGGUGAAGGAACUAGGCAAAAUGGUGCCGUAACUUCGGGAGAAGGCACGCUGACACGUAGGUGAAGUGAUUUACUCAUGGAGCUGAAGUCAGUCGAAGAUACCAGCUGGCUGCAACUGUUUAUUAAAAACACAGCACUGUGCAAACACGAAAGUGGACGUAUACGGUGUGACGCCUGCCCGGUGCCGGAAGGUUAAUUGAUGGGGUCAGCGCAAGCGAAGCUCCUGAUCGAAGCCCCGGUAAACGGCGGCCGUAACUAUAACGGUCCUAAGGUAGCGAAAUUCCUUGUCGGGUAAGUUCCGACCUGCACGAAUGGCGUAAUGAUGGCCAGGCUGUCUCCACCCGAGACUCAGUGAAAUUGAACUCGCUGUGAAGAUGCAGUGUACCCGCGGCAAGACGGAAAGACCCCGUGAACCUUUACUAUAGCUUGACACUGAACAUUGAGCCUUGAUGUGUAGGAUAGGUGGGAGGCUUUGAAGCGUGGACGCCAGUCUGCGUGGAGCCGACCUUGAAAUACCACCCUUUAAUGUUUGAUGUUCUAACGUGGACCCGUAAUCCGGGUUGCGGACAGUGUCUGGUGGGUAGUUUGACUGGGGCGGUCUCCUCCUAAAGAGUAACGGAGGAGCACGAAGGUUGGCUAAUCCUGGUCGGACAUCAGGAGGUUAGUGCAAUGGCAUAAGCCAGCUUGACUGCGAGCGUGACGGCGCGAGCAGGUGCGAAAGCAGGUCAUAGUGAUCCGGUGGUUCUGAAUGGAAGGGCCAUCGCUCAACGGAUAAAAGGUACUCCGGGGAUAACAGGCUGAUACCGCCCAAGAGUUCAUAUCGACGGCGGUGUUUGGCACCUCGAUGUCGGCUCAUCACAUCCUGGGGCUGAAGUAGGUCCCAAGGGUAUGGCUGUUCGCCAUUUAAAGUGGUACGCGAGCUGGGUUUAGAACGUCGUGAGACAGUUCGGUCCCUAUCUGCCGUGGGCGCUGGAAGAUUGAGGGGGGCUGCUCCUAGUACGAGAGGACCGGAGUGGACGCAUCACUGGUGUUCGGGUUGUCAUGCCAAUGGCACUGCCCGGUAGCUAAAUGCGGAAAAGAUAAGUGCUGAAAGCAUCUAAGCACGAAACUUGCCCCGAGAUGAGUCUUCCCUGAGACUUUGAGUCUCCUGAAGGAACGUUAAAGACGAUGACGUUGAUAGGCCGGGUGUGUAAGCGCAGCGAUGCGUUGAGCUAACCGGUACUAAUGAACCGUGAGGCUUAACCUUACAACGCCGAAGCUGUU
This 1814-nucleotide ribosomal RNA is filed under the name Salmonella enterica. Its description in RNAcentral is "partial 23S ribosomal RNA". It matches the Rfam family "Bacterial large subunit ribosomal RNA", at positions 1151 to 2925 of the family's 2925-position model. The record is from RNAcentral. Lineage: Bacteria; Pseudomonadati; Pseudomonadota; Gammaproteobacteria; Enterobacterales; Enterobacteriaceae.